CGAGAAAUUCCGUUUCGGCGGGAGAGUACAGUGGCGAACGGGUGAGUAACGCGUGAGCGAUCUACCCUUGAGCGGGGGAUAACAUUCUGAAAGGGGUGCUAAGACCGCAUAAGCCUGUAACUGUCGAGGUUAUGGGGAAAGGCCUUCGGGUCGCUGAAGGAGGAGCUCGCGUCGGAUUAGCUAGUUGGUGGGGUAAAGGCUCACCAAGGCGACGAUCCGUAGCCGGUCUGAGAGGACGGACGGCCACACUGGGACUGAGACACGGCCCAGACUCCUACGGGAGGCAGCAGUGGGGAAUUUUGGGCAAUGGGGGCAACCCUGACCCAGCAACGCCGCGUGGAGGAAGAAGGUCUUCGGGUCGUAAACUCCUGUCCAGAGGGACGAAGCAAGUGACGGUACCUCUGGAGGAAGCCCCGGCUAACUCCGCGCCAGCAGCCGCGGUAAUACGGGGGGGGCAAGCGUUGUUCGGAAUUACUGGGCGUAAAGGGCGCGAAGGCGGCUUCGGAAGUCAUGGGUGAAAGCCCCGGGCUCAACUCGGGAAUGGCCUGUGAAACCACGGGGCUGGAGUGCUGGAGAGGGAAGCGGAAUUCCCAGUGUAGCGGUGAAAUGCGUAGAUAUUGGGAGGAACACCUGCGGCGAAGGCGGCUUCCUGGACAGACACUGACGCUGAGGCGCGAAAGCCAGGGGAGCAAACGGGAUUAGAUACCCCGGUAGUCCUGGCUGUAAACGAUGAACACUUGGUGUAGGGGGUGAUGAAAGUCCCUCGGCGCCGGAGAAAACUCAUUAAGUGUUCCGCCUGGGGAGUACGGCCGCAAGGCUGAAACUCAAAGGAAUUGACGGGGGCCCGCACAAGCGGUGGAGCAUGUGGUUUAAUUCGACGCAACGCGAAGAACCUUACCGGGAUUUGAACUGUACGGCAAUCGGCAGAGAUGUCGAGUUCCUUUCGGGGACUCGUACAGAGUGCUGCAUGGCUGUCGUCAGCUCGUGUCGUGAGAUGUUGGGUUAAGUCCCGCAACGAGCGCAACCCUUGUCUGUA
Molecule: ribosomal RNA, 1036 nt
Filed under: uncultured bacterium
Lineage: Bacteria
Description: bacterial SSU rRNA
Rfam family: Bacterial small subunit ribosomal RNA
Source: RNAcentral